GGUUUCCGCCGGUGCUUAGUUCCGUGUUUUGAAAGAUACUUGUUUUGAUUCAGCUCCAAGCUUCAAGCAUGCUAAUGGACUGCUGUGCUGCUGAGCUGUACCCACAGACACGGAGACUUGAUUUUUGGAUAUCUGAAGUAGGGGCAAUGGAGCUAGAGAGAUAGCUCAGUGGAGAUCCAGGUUUGAGUCCCAGAACCCACAUCG
Long non-coding RNA from Nannospalax galili (Upper Galilee mountains blind mole rat), 204 nucleotides. RefSeq lists it as uncharacterized. The transcript is spliced from 3 exons. NCBI's taxonomy places the organism in Eukaryota, Metazoa, Chordata, Mammalia, Rodentia, Spalacidae. The record is from RefSeq and is a predicted model, not a curated record.